AAUGAACGCUGGCGGCAGGCCUAACACAUGCAAGUCGAGCGAGCAUUUCGGUGCUAGCGGCGGACGGGUGAGUAACGCGUGGGAACGUGCCCUUUUCUGCGGAAUAGUCCUGGGAAACUGGGGGUAAUACCGCAUACGCCCUUUUGGGGAAAGAUUUAUCGGAGAAGGAUCGGCCCGCGUUGGAUUAGGUAGUUGGUGGGGUAAUGGCCCACCAAGCCGACGAUCCAUAGCUGGUUUGAGAGGAUGAUCAGCCACACUGGGACUGAGACACGGCCCAGACUCCUACGGGAGGCAGCAGUGGGGAAUCUUAGACAAUGGGGGCAACCCUGAUCUAGCCAUGCCGCGUGAGUGAUGAAGGCCUUAGGGUUGUAAAGCUCUUUCAGCGGGGAAGAUAAUGACGGUACCAGCAGAAGAAGCCCCGGCUAACUCCGU
This 432-nucleotide ribosomal RNA is filed under the name uncultured bacterium. RNAcentral's name for it is "partial 16S ribosomal RNA". It matches the Rfam family "Bacterial small subunit ribosomal RNA", at positions 29 to 506 of the family's 1533-position model. The record is from RNAcentral.